GACGAACGCUGGCGGCGUGCUUAACACAUGCAAGUCGUACGGAAAGGCCCUGUCGGUGGUACGCGCGCGGCUAACGAGUGAGUAACACGUAAGUGACUAGCCCACCCCUUACUGAUAACGCAAGGCAACUGACUCUGGCACUGACUAGGUGCGACUGCUGCCUGCUGGGGGUGGGUAAGCUCCGGGGGUUGUGGGUGGACGCACGGGCUACCAGCUUGCUGGUGGGGGGGGUGCCUACCAAGGCGGCGACGGGCAGCCGGCCUGAGAGGGUGGCCGGCCACAUUGGGACUGAGAUACGGGCCAGACUUCUACGGGAGGCAGCAGGGGGGAAUAUUGCACAAUGGGCGCAAGCCUGAUGCAGCAAAGCCGCGUGCGGGAUGACGGCCUUCGGGUUGUAAACCGCUUUCAGCAGGGACGAAGCUUUUUGUGACGGUACCUGCAGAAGAAGCACCGGCUAACUACGUG
This 465-nucleotide ribosomal RNA is filed under the name uncultured bacterium. RNAcentral's name for it is "partial 16S ribosomal RNA". It matches the Rfam family "Bacterial small subunit ribosomal RNA", at positions 28 to 507 of the family's 1533-position model. The record is from RNAcentral.